GUCCGGUCAUUCAGAAUCAGAAAUACUUUAUUAAUCCCUGGGGAAAGUUUGGUAUCAUCUACUUACCUGCGUCCCGAGCUGUGAUGCCAUGAGACUUUGAGAAUGGCAACUCUGAGGACACCUAUGUCUUGGCAGAGGGAGCUGCUUUUUACAUCUGCAGAUGCAUGAUGGGAAAUGCAAUGAGCUGCUUGUCAGGGAAGAGACAAUUCACGGGAGAGGGCCCACGGAAGCUGUAUACAUUCCCAAUUUACUCCCAGCUCUGCCGUUUUUUAAGGGCUCGGUGGAUCCUCUCGUCUUCUUUUAGGCUUCUGCACAUUGUUGGCAAAUGAUGCAACGUAUAAAAAUAAAUUUAUUAAG
Molecule: non-coding RNA, 357 nt
Organism: Labrus bergylta (ballan wrasse)
Lineage: Eukaryota; Metazoa; Chordata; Actinopteri; Labriformes; Labridae
Source: RefSeq, a predicted model, not a curated record